RNAcentral lists this transfer RNA (69 nucleotides) under Ictidomys tridecemlineatus (thirteen-lined ground squirrel). RNAcentral describes it as "Spermophilus tridecemlineatus (thirteen-lined ground squirrel) tRNA". It matches the Rfam family "tRNA". Rfam says of the family: Transfer RNA (tRNA) molecules are approximately 80 nucleotides in length. Their secondary structure includes four short double-helical elements and three loops (D, anti-codon, and T loops). Lineage: Eukaryota; Metazoa; Chordata; Mammalia; Rodentia; Sciuridae. RNAcentral also lists the same sequence under 1 other name. The record is from Rfam by way of RNAcentral.
GGGGUUGUGGCUCAGCAGUAGAGCACUGGCCUAGCAUGUGAGAGGCCCUGGGUUCGAUCCUCAGCACCA